GACGAACGCUGGCGGCGUGCUUAACACAUGCAAGUCGAACGGAAAGGCCCUGCUUUUGUGGGGUGCUCGAGUGGCGAACGGGUGAGUAACACGUGAGUAACCUGCCCUUGACUUUGGGAUAACUUCAGGAAACUGGGGCUAAUACCCGAUAGGAGCUCCUGCUGCAUGGUGGGGGUUGGAAAGUUUCGGCGGUUGGGGAUGGACUCGCGGCUUAUCAGCUUGUUGGUGGGGUAGUGGCUUACCAAGGCUUUGACGGGUAGCCGGCCUGAGAGGGUGACCGGCCACAUUGGGACUGAGAUACGGCGCAGACUCGUACGGGAGGCAGCAGUCGGGAGUAUUGCACAAUGGGCGGAAGCCUGAUGCAGCGACGCUGCGUGCGUGAUGACGGCCUUCGGGUUGUAAACCGCUUUCUCCGGUGACGAAGCGUGAGUGACGGUAAUGGGUAAAGAAGCACCGGCUAACUACGUG
This 468-nucleotide ribosomal RNA is filed under the name uncultured bacterium. RNAcentral describes it as "partial 16S ribosomal RNA". It matches the Rfam family "Bacterial small subunit ribosomal RNA", at positions 28 to 507 of the family's 1533-position model. The record is from RNAcentral.